RNAcentral lists this long non-coding RNA (1700 nucleotides) under Phoenix dactylifera (date palm). RNAcentral's name for it is "long non-coding RNA (PDAC_LNC005865)". Lineage: Eukaryota; Viridiplantae; Streptophyta; Magnoliopsida; Arecales; Arecaceae. The record is from RNAcentral.
CGUUAGCUCAAUUUGAUGGAUGGCACCUCUCUCGUGAAUGGUAGGGGUGAUAAUGGAGGCCGGUAAUCCCUAACCUGAUGAGAACCAACCCAAGACAUAGGUUCUGGUUAUGAAAACUAAACUCAAUAAGCUAUCACUUGGGUCUAGGUUUCAACAUUAGACUUGAAGUCAUACUUGGUUGGAUUUAGAUUUAAGUAAAUCUAUACCCAGGACAUCGAAAUCAAAAAUUAUUAGAUAUACAUACAAACAUUCACAUAAAUAUUUAAAUAUGUACUUAUGCACAUGUUUCUACUUUCUAUGUGUAGGUAUCAAUUUUUUUUUCUUUUAUUCAUAAAAGAAAUAAGAUCAAAUAGAGAGUGGCCAAAUUCUAACCAACCUUGUUCACCAAAUACUUGUUAUGAUUUGAUAUUUAUAUCAAGCUCGACUAUUUCAGGAUCUUUUCAUGCUUCAUGUUUUUGAUCGCAUGGAUGCUAAAAUAAUAAAGGUAAUAAUUGAAUAAUAUACUAUUAAUAUUUAACAAAAGUUUUAGAUAAUUAAUUUGUUAAAUAUCUGAUGUCUAUGUUUCGAUCGCAGAUGGAAUUUUAAUUAGGUUUGGAUUUGGAUUUGGAUCUACCAAAGAGAUUUUGGGUUCUCAUGUUGACAUUAUGCUCCAUGGAGCACUCUUGGUUUCGUUACAUUUCUGAACCAAAUUGGGUCCACCUAACUUAAUUCACAAUACAAUAACCCAUGCAUAUUAAAAUCAAACUGCCAAACCUAUUGGACCCACUUGAAUCAAUACAUCAAAGCUAACCUGACUAAUCUUUUAGGGGCCCAAUAUGAUUUAAACGCAACACCUCCUCUAUCAAAGUGCCACCUUGGGUCUAUUACUGAAGAAAACACUACAUUUGUGAACAGAUAUCCUUUCUUUCUUCCUUUUUUUGUUUAAGUACAUCUAAUGUCAAAACUGACCAAUCUUGUUAGAAUUUUUUUGCAUGAAUACCUUCUUAAAUAUCAAUUUUUACAUGAAUACCCUCUCAAUAUUGAUAUUUGUAUGUAUAUCAUCGUAAAAUACUUGUUUUGCUAUUCUACCCCUUUUUUUUCUUAUUUUUGUAUAUAUACUCACGCUAUCUAACGUUGUUAAAAAAUUAACGAUUUCAAAUUAAAAUAACUUAAAUAAUUUUAAUGAAUAGAUGUGCAAAAAAAAAUAUUUAUAAAGAGAUCGUGAUGGAGGACAAAAAAAAUGUAAUUUUAAAAUUCUAUUUUAUUUUUAGUUAAAAUAAAUAUGGUUUUUAUUAAUGGUGUUAGAAAAACGGUUAAAUUAAGGAUAUUUGUGCAAAAACAGAAAGUAUAGAAAUAAAUAUAAAUUUGAAGAGAAUAUUCAUGUAAAUUUAAAUUUUUAGAAGAAUAUUCAUGCCAAAAAAAUAUAUUUUUUUAUUUUUUUGCCUCAUGAGUCAUGACCACCUGAACGCCCUUUUAACCAAAUGCACAAACAAACCAGAAAAACUCUCCUCUUUUCCCUACCGCUCAAUCCGGAGGUGAUGGAUGAGGUGGCCAACCACCCUGAAAGAAUCUCUUGACACCAAGAACCAACGGAGCCCACUUCUCACCAUCACUUUUUUUUUUUCAGAAGCUUCAGAAACUCCAAAAGUCAAGAACCCAACACCUCAUUGCAUCCUAUAAUAAGAGACCAAAAGAGAGAGAGAGAGAGAGAGAGAGAGAGA